Molecule: ribosomal RNA, 303 nt
Filed under: Venus casina
Lineage: Eukaryota; Metazoa; Mollusca; Bivalvia; Venerida; Veneridae
Description: partial 16S ribosomal RNA
Source: RNAcentral
GUGAUAAGUUGUCUUUUAAUUGGAGAAUGGUAUGAAUGGUUUGACGUAGAAUAACUGUCUUUGGGGAAUAGAAUUAAGUUUCCUUUUAAGUGAAAAGGCUUAUAUUUUUGUAAAAGACGAGAAGACCCUGUCGAGCUUAAUUAAAAUUGUUUGUUUAUAACAAUUAGAAUUUUUGUUGGGGCAACAUAGAUCAAAAUAACGGUUUAAUUAUUAAAUAAAGAUCCUUUUAUUGAGAGAAAAUAGCAAAAGCUACCGCAGGGAUAACAGCGUUAUCCUUUUUAAGAGAUCGAAUUGAGAGAAGGG